This is a non-coding RNA of Podarcis lilfordi (Lilford's wall lizard), 76 nucleotides long. The record is from the annotation of a GenBank genome assembly. NCBI's taxonomy places the organism in Eukaryota, Metazoa, Chordata, Lepidosauria, Squamata, Lacertidae.
GGGAAAGGCUCUGGCUCAGUGGCAGAGCAUCAGCUUUGUACAUAGAAGGUCCCUGGUUCAAUCCUUGGCAUUCCCA